Molecule: ribosomal RNA, 455 nt
Filed under: uncultured bacterium
Lineage: Bacteria
Description: bacterial SSU rRNA
Rfam family: Bacterial small subunit ribosomal RNA
Source: RNAcentral
UACGGAAGGCAGCAGUGGGGAAUAUUGCACAAUGGGCGCAAGCCUGAUGCAGCCAUGCCGCGUGUAUGAAGAAGGCCUUCGGGUUGUAAAGUACUUUCAGUCGUGAGGAAGGUGUUAAGGUUAAUAACCUUAGCAAUUGACGUUAGCGACAGAAGAAGCACCGGCUAACUCCGUGCCAGCAGCCGCGGUAAUACGGAGGGUGCGAGCGUUAAUCGGAAUUACUGGGCGUAAAGGGCACGCAGGCGGUUAAUUAAGUUGGAUGUGAAAUCCCCGGGCUUAACCUGGGAAUGGCAUUCAAGACUGGUUAGCUAGAGUCUUGUAGAGGGGGUAGAAUUCCAUGUGUAGCGGUGAAAUGCGUAGAGAGGUGGAGGAAUACCGGUGGCGAAGGCGGGCCCCUGGGACAAAGACUGACGCUCAUGUGCGAAAGCGUGGGGAGCAAACAGGGAUUAGAUACC